Molecule: ribosomal RNA, 76 nt
Filed under: Staphylococcus aureus
Lineage: Bacteria; Bacillati; Bacillota; Bacilli; Caryophanales; Staphylococcaceae
Description: partial 16S ribosomal RNA
Rfam family: Bacterial small subunit ribosomal RNA
Source: RNAcentral
UUUAUGGAGAGUUUGAUCCUGGCUCAGGAUGAACGCUGGCGGCGUGCCUAAUACAUGCAAGUCGAGCGAACGGACG